UUUUUUUUUCUUUUUGUUAGCUCCUUUAUUUUCUUCUGUUUUUCUGUUUAAUUUUGUAUUUUCAACACUUUCUUAAUUUUUUUCUAUUUUCUUCAUUUUUUUUAAUAUUACCUUUAUUCACAUUAAUGGUUAUUUAAAUAUAUACAUUGUUUCACUGUAAAAAUUACUUUUGUUUAUAAUAAGUUAUACUUUCUCUGAACCUAAUAUAUGUUAUCUUAAUUGAAGUUUCAUUAAUUAAAAUGUUUACAUUGUAUGAAUGUAAAUUUUACUUUUCUAUACAACAAAUUAUACAUUUACUGAAUGUACGAUAUUUUGCUAAAUACUAAAUCC
This 330-nucleotide long non-coding RNA is filed under the name Salvia miltiorrhiza (redroot sage). RNAcentral's name for it is "long non-coding RNA (SMIL_LNC002514)". The record is from RNAcentral. Lineage: Eukaryota; Viridiplantae; Streptophyta; Magnoliopsida; Lamiales; Lamiaceae.